GACGAACGCUGGCGGCGUGCUUAACACAUGCAAGUCGAACGGAAAGGCCCUGCUUUUGUGGGGUGCUCGAGUGGCGAACGGGUGAGUAACACGUGAGUAACCUGCCCUUGACUUUGGGAUAACUUCAGGAAACUGGGGCUAAUACCGGAUAGGAGCUCCUGCUGCAUGGUGGGGGUUGGAAAGUUUCGGCGGUUGGGGAUGGACUCGCGGCUUAUCAGCUUGUUGGUGGGGUAGUGGCUUACCAAGGCUUUGACGGGUAGCCGGCCUGAGAGGGUGACCGGCCACAUUGGGACUGAGAUACGGCCCAGACUCCUACGGGAGGCAGCAGUGGGGAAUAUUGCACAAUGGGCGGAAGCCUGAUGCAGCAACGCCGCGUGCGGGAUGACGGCCUUCGGGUUGUAAACCGCUUUCGCCUGUGACGAAGCGUGAGUGACGGUAAUGGGUAAAGAAGCACCGGCUAACUACGUGCCAGCAGCCGCGGUGAUACGUAGGGUGCGAGCGUUGUCCGGAUUUAUUGGGCGUAAAGGGCUCGUAGGUGGUUGAUCGCGUCGGAAGUGUAAUCUUGGGGCUUAACCCUGAGCGUGCUUUCGAUACGGGUUGACUUGAGGAAGAUAGGGGAGAAUGGAAUUCCUGGUGGAGCGGUGGAAUGCGCAGAUAUCAGGAGGAACACCAGUGGCGAAGGCGGUUCUCUGGGCCUUUCCUGACGCUGAGGAGCGAAAGCGUGGGGAGCGAACAGGCUUAGAUACCCUGGUAGUCCACGCUGUAAACGGUGGGUACUAGGUGUGGGGUCCAUUCCACGGGUUCCGUGCCGUAGCUAACGCUUUAAGUACCCCGCCUGGGGAGUACGGCCGCAAGGCUAAAACUCAAAGGAAUUGACGGGGCCCCGCACAAGCGGCGGAGCAUGCGGAUUAAUUCGAUGCAACGCGUAGAACCUUACCUGGGUUUGACAUGGAUCGGGAGCGCUCAGAGAUGGGUGUGCCUCUUUUGGGGUCGGUUCACAGGUGGUGCAUGGCUGUCGUCAGCUCGUGUCGUGAGAUGUUGGGUUAAGUCCCGCAACGAGCGCAACCCUUGUUCACUGUUGCCAGCACGUUAUGGUGGGGACUCAGUGGAGACCGCCGGGGUCAACUCGGAGGAAGGUGGGGAUGACGUCAAGUCAUCAUGCCCCUUAUGUCCAGGGCUUCACGCAUGCUACAAUGGCUGGUACAGAGAGUGGCGAGCCUGUGAGGGUGAGCGAAUCUCGGAAAGCCGGUCUCAGUUCGGAUUGGGGUCUGCAACUCGACCUCAUGAAGUCGGAGUCGCUAGUAAUCGCAGAUCAGCAACGCUGCGGUGAAUACGUUCCCGGGGCU
Molecule: ribosomal RNA, 1346 nt
Filed under: uncultured bacterium
Lineage: Bacteria
Description: bacterial SSU rRNA
Rfam family: Bacterial small subunit ribosomal RNA
Source: RNAcentral